CAAUGGAAUAGAAUGGUGGAAUAAGCGUUCGAUAUACAAAAGACUGUGUUUAAAUGUCAAUAAUCAUAUGGUAACAUUUGUAUGCGUAUGCUAACAUGUCCGCGUGUGAAGUACACAUAUGUAAAUGUAUACGUAAUACGAAAUGAACUUAGACAGUAAAAUUGUUUUUCCUAACUUAUUUCAAUACUUACGACAUAAAUUUCAGUAAAAGUAUAGCCAUUAACAAAACCGGUUUAUAAAUUCGUUAAGCAUUCAAUAUGAACCAUUUUUUGUUAAUCUAUUAGUACAGACACCAUGUAUCAUGCUCUAACAAUUCUAGCAUCUCUGUUGAUUUCAUCUUCUUUGUCUUUUGAACAAAAGUGUUUUUAUCCUUAUUCAGUACAAGAGCUCAACAUACAGAAGUUAACAGGCACUACGUGGUACAGCCUAUUACGAACUAUCGAUGUUGCAUCUUCAAAUACUAUGUGUGAACGCGUAUCAAACUUCACGGAAACCGACGACGGGUUCAAAGUAAACUUGCGAACGUACACUGGAGGAUUGAAAUACGUAGACUGGAUUUCUCAUUUUAAUCUCGAAAGAUCAGGAGUAUAUCACGAGGACA
Non-coding RNA from Styela clava, 601 nucleotides. NCBI's taxonomy places the organism in Eukaryota, Metazoa, Chordata, Ascidiacea, Stolidobranchia, Styelidae. The record is from RefSeq and is a predicted model, not a curated record.